Nicotiana tabacum (common tobacco) is the source of this 290-nucleotide long non-coding RNA. RefSeq lists it as uncharacterized. Lineage: Eukaryota; Viridiplantae; Streptophyta; Magnoliopsida; Solanales; Solanaceae. The record is from RefSeq and is a predicted model, not a curated record.
UUGCUGUAUUCUAUUGUCUUCUUGUAAUAAUUCUCAUGUUAUCAAUGGAUGAGUGGUGUCUACAAAGCCAAGCCAGGAUUUUGGAGCUGUCCCCUAUCAAAUCCGAAGAAGAAGAUAGGAAUGAUUUAGUCCGAGGUCGCAGUAACAGGGUGACUUGGAGCAAUACCUAUCCUUCCCCUAAUCCAAAUAUGAGAAGUCAUUAUGGAUGUGGUGACAAUUGCUUUUAGGGCUGCUGAGGAUGGGCAUGGGAAAUACUUUUGAAAAUUUGGGAGGAGAUCGGACAAAAUGGC